RNAcentral lists this ribosomal RNA (1507 nucleotides) under uncultured Alphaproteobacteria bacterium. RNAcentral's name for it is "bacterial SSU rRNA". It matches the Rfam family "Bacterial small subunit ribosomal RNA". The record is from RNAcentral. Lineage: Bacteria; Pseudomonadati; Pseudomonadota; Alphaproteobacteria.
ACGUUUGGGAACUUUCCCCAUAAUGGUCGACUGCAGGCGUCGGGAUCCACUAGUGAUGAGUGAUCUGCUCCAGAACGAACGCUGGCGGCCAGCCCUAAACCAUGCAAGUUGAAGCGUUCCCUCCGAGUGAGACGCGCGACCGUUUGAUAACGGGGGGAAUAUCCUUCCAUAGGAAAUAGCUCUCGGAACUUGAGAUAUAUCCCAUACGCCCUUUCGGGGGAAGGAUUUAUCGGUGAAGGAUUAGCCCGGUUAAAAUUAGAUAGUGGUGGGGGUAAUGGCCUACCAAGUCUACGAUCUUUAGCUGGUUUUAGAGGAUGAUCCAGCACACAUUGGGACUGAGACACCGGUCCAGAAUCCUUACGGAAGCAGCAGUGGGAAUCUUAGACCAUGGGCGCCAAGCCUGAUCCUAGCAUGCCGCGUGAGUGAUGAAGGUCUUAGGAUCGUAAAGCUCUUUCGCUAGGGAUGAUAAUGACAGUACCUAGUAAAGAAGCCCCGGCUAACUCCGUGCCAGCAGCCGCGGUAAUACGGAGGGGGCUAGCGUUGUUCGGAAUUACUGGGCGUAAAGCGUACGUAGGCGGAUCAGAAAGUAUGGGGUGAAAUCCCAGGGCUUAACCCUGGAACUGCCUCAUAAACUCCUGGUCUUGAGUUCGAGAGAGGUGAGUGGAAUUCCAAGUGUAGAGGUGAAAUUCGUAGAUAUUUGGAGGAACACCAGUGGCGAAGGCGGCUCACUGGCUCGAUACUGACGCUGAGGUACGAAAGUGUGGGGAGCAAACAGGAUUAGAUACCCUGGUAGUCCACACCGUAAACGAUGAAUGCCAGUCGUCGGGCAGUAUACUGUUCGGUGACACACCUAACGGAUUAAGCAUUCCGCCUGGGGAGUACGGUCGCAAGAUUAAAACUCAAAGGAAUUGACGGGGGCCCGCACAAGCGGUGGAGCAUGUGGUUUAAUUCGAAGCAACGCGCAGAACCUUACCAACCCUUGACAUGCCUGGACAAUCCGAGAGAUCGGACUUUCCUUCGGGACCAGUGCACAGGUGCUGCAUGGCUGUCGUCAGCUCGUGUCGUGAGAUGUUCGGUUAAGUCCGGCAACGAGCGCAACCCACAUCUUUAGUUGCCAGCAGGUUAAGCUGGGCACUCUAGAGAAACUGCCCGUGAUAAGCGGGAGGAAGGUGUGGAUGACGUCAAGUCCUCAUGGCCCUUACGGGUUGGGCUACACACGUGCUACAAUGGCAGUGACAAUGGGUUAAUCCCAAAAAGCUGUCUCAGUUCGGAUUGGGGUCUGCAACUCGACCCCAUGAAGUCGGAAUCGCUAGUAAUCGCGUAACAGCAUGACGCGGUGAAUACGUUCCCGGGCCUUGUACACACCGCCCGUCACACCAUGGGAGUUGGUUCUACCCGACGACGCUGCGCUAACCCUUCGGGGAGGCAGGCGGCCACGGUAGGAUCAGCGACUGGGGUGAAGUCGUAACAAGGUAGCCGUAAUCGAAUUUCCCGCGGCCGCCAAAAR